Molecule: ribosomal RNA, 240 nt
Filed under: uncultured Bacillota bacterium
Lineage: Bacteria; Bacillati; Bacillota
Description: uncultured Firmicutes bacterium partial 16S ribosomal RNA
Rfam family: Bacterial small subunit ribosomal RNA
Source: RNAcentral
CACGCCGUAAACGUUGAGAACUAAGUGUUGGGGAGACCCAGUGCUGAAGCUAACGCAUUAAGUUCUCCGCCUGAGGAGUACGCACGCAAGUGUAAAACUUAAAGGAAUUGACGGGGGCCCGCACAAGCAGUGGAGCAUGUGGUUUAAUUCGUGGCUACGCGAAGAACCUUACCAGGACUUGACAUAUAGAUGCCCGGUGUAGAGAUACACUUUUUUCUUCUGAAACAUCUAUACAGGUGG